Molecule: ribosomal RNA, 513 nt
Filed under: uncultured bacterium
Lineage: Bacteria
Description: partial 16S ribosomal RNA
Rfam family: Bacterial small subunit ribosomal RNA
Source: RNAcentral
GAUGAACGCUGGCGGCGUGCCUAAUACAUGCAAGUCGAGCGAACAGACGAGGAGCUUGCUCCUUUGACGUUAGCGGCGGACGGGUGAGUAACACGUGGGUAACCUACCUAUAAGACUGGGAUAACUUCGGGAAACCGGAGCUAAUACCGGAUAAUAUUUCGAACCGCAUGGUUCGAUAGUGAAAGAUGGCUUUGCUAUCACUUAUAGAUGGACCUGCGCCGUAUUAGCUAGUUGGUAAGGUAACGGCUUACCAAGGCAACGAUACGUAGCCGACAUGAGGGGGUGAUCGGCCACACUGGAACUGAGACACGGUCCAGACUCCUACGGGAGGCAGCAGUAGGGAAUCUUCCGCAAUGGGCGAAAGCCUGACGGAGCAACGCCGCGUGAGUGAUGAAGGUCUUCGGAUCGUAAAACUCUGUUAUUAGGGAAGAACAAACGUGUAAGUAACUGUGCACGUCUUGACGGUACCUAAUCAGAAAGCCACGGCUAACUACGUGCCAGCAGCCGCGGUAA